RNAcentral lists this unclassified non-coding RNA (214 nucleotides) under uncultured fungus. Its description in RNAcentral is "sequence contains ITS1". The stretch from base 1 to 105 matches the Rfam family "5.8S ribosomal RNA", at positions 50 to 154 of the family's 154-position model. Lineage: Eukaryota; Fungi. The record is from RNAcentral.
GAAAUGCGAUAAGUAAUGUGAAUUGCAGAAUUCAGUGAAUCAUCGAAUCUUUGAACGCACCUUGCGCUCUCUGGUAUUCCGGGGAGCAUGCCUGUUUGAGAAUCGCAAAGCAACACAAAUCACAUUCAUUUUUUUUUGGGUGUGGAAUUGGGCCGAAUUCCUCUUUUCAGAUUUUUUUGAAGGGAGAGGAUGGCUUGAAAUCUCCCACCCCAAG